RNAcentral lists this ribosomal RNA (460 nucleotides) under uncultured bacterium. RNAcentral's name for it is "partial 16S ribosomal RNA". It matches the Rfam family "Bacterial small subunit ribosomal RNA", at positions 338 to 795 of the family's 1533-position model. The record is from RNAcentral.
CCUACGGGUGGCAGCAGUGAGGAAUAUUGGUCAAUGGGCGCGAGCCUGAACCAGCGAAGUCGCGUGGGGGAUGACGGUCCUACGGAUUGUAAACCUCUUUUGCCGGGGAGCAGGCGUGCGUUCGUGAACGCGCGUCGCGAGUACCCGGAGAAGCAGCAUCGGCUAACUCCGUGCCGGCGGCCGCGGUAAUACGGAGGAUGCGAGCGUUAUCCGGAUGUAGUGGGUUAAGGGGGUGCGUAGGCGGGAUGCAAAGUCCGAGGUAAAAAUGCGGUGCUCAACGCCGUCGAGCCGUUGAAACUGGCGUUCUUGAGUGGGCGAGGAGUAUGCGGAAUGCGUGGUGUAGCGGUGAAAUGCAUAGAUAUCAGGCAGAACUCCGACUGCGAAGGCAGCAUACCGGCGCCCUACUGACGCUGAGGCACGAAAGCGUGGGUAUCGAACAGGAUUAGAUACCCUUGUAGUC